GUGGACAGCCUGGUGGGCCCC
RNAcentral lists this unclassified non-coding RNA (21 nucleotides) under Chlamydomonas reinhardtii. Its description in RNAcentral is "small RNA Cre_2050". The record is from RNAcentral. Lineage: Eukaryota; Viridiplantae; Chlorophyta; Chlorophyceae; Chlamydomonadales; Chlamydomonadaceae.